AGUUCUAUGCUACAAUGGUUAGGGAAAUGGGUUUGCAACUCAGAGGUUGUAGGUUCAAAUCCCAUGUGGACAC
This is a non-coding RNA of Albula glossodonta (roundjaw bonefish), 73 nucleotides long. NCBI's taxonomy places the organism in Eukaryota, Metazoa, Chordata, Actinopteri, Albuliformes, Albulidae. The record is from the annotation of a GenBank genome assembly.